GGGUUCGUGGCCUAAUGGUAAGGCGUCAGAUUUCGGUUUGAUUAAUUCGAGUACCGGUCCUCUGAAGAUUGCAGGUUCGAUCCCUGCCGAGCUCG
Molecule: transfer RNA, 95 nt
Filed under: Hypoxylon sp. FL1857
Lineage: Eukaryota; Fungi; Ascomycota; Sordariomycetes; Xylariales; Hypoxylaceae
Description: tRNA-Arg
Rfam family: tRNA
About the family: Transfer RNA (tRNA) molecules are approximately 80 nucleotides in length. Their secondary structure includes four short double-helical elements and three loops (D, anti-codon, and T loops). Further hydrogen bonds mediate the characteristic L-shaped molecular structure. tRNAs have two regions of fundamental functional importance: the anti-codon, which is responsible for specific mRNA codon recognition, and the 3' end, to which the tRNAs corresponding amino acid is attached (by aminoacyl-tRNA synthetases). tRNAs cope with the degeneracy of the genetic code in two manners: having more than one tRNA (with a specific anti-codon) for a particular amino acid; and 'wobble' base-pairing, i.e. permitting non-standard base-pairing at the 3rd anti-codon position.
Source: RNAcentral